GACAGAGGUGCCGAGCGUUAGGCGGAAUCACUGGGCUUAAAGCGUGUGUAGGCGGGUCGUUAAGUGUCUUGUGAAAUCCCACCGCUCAACGGUGGAACUGCUGGGCAUACUGGCGAUCUUGAGCCACCUAGGGGCAGACGGAACAAGCGGUGGAGCGGUGAAAUGCGUAGAUAUCACUUGGAACGCCGACGGUGAAAACAGUCUGCUGGGGGUGUGCUGACGCUGAGACACGAAAGCCAGGGGAGCGAACGGG
Molecule: ribosomal RNA, 253 nt
Filed under: uncultured bacterium
Lineage: Bacteria
Description: partial 16S ribosomal RNA
Rfam family: Bacterial small subunit ribosomal RNA
Source: RNAcentral